GCGAGGGAGCGGGGCAGCUGGCAGCGGCGGCGCCGCGGUAAGGCACUCAUUUGGUACUUCGGAAGACCAUUCGCAUGGUCGGUUGUGUCCCUAGUACUGUCUCUUCUGUCCCUAGUUUUCGCCUCCGGCAGAGUGUGAGUCCUUUGGAGGCCAUGCCUGCUUAACCAACAAAUGGCCUAUGAAACAGGUCUGUUUCACUAACCAUCACAUUAACCGUUCCCACCGUUCCACUAUUUAAGGUAGGCCGUUGUCUGCUUACGGUUUCAGUUCUAACAGCUGGGUAUGGGACCACGACUGUUUUCCCAAUAAAACCAUAUAACAAUACAGUUCGUAUCUCUGCAGUACUAAUCGCUGUAUCUACGACGACGACUACUACUAUCCCUCGGACAAACGCGUCGUGUUUCACGUAAUGAGUUCCACGUACUACGUUAACAACUACGAGACCGUUAGUGAUCACUGAGACUACUAUUUCUUCGGUUGUAAGAACAUGGUCGAUCAGUUCGACGUUCACAAUAACCUUUUAGACCAAGACAGUAGUUCUCCGAAGCGAGUCAAAGUUUUAGUAAGUAAUUUCAAUUUGGUUUUCUAGGUUCACUACAAUGUGUAAGUACACGAUACUCAAAACUAUUAAAGCAAGUCUAUUGACCCCUGCGAUCUCGACAGUUCUUCCGUAACAAACGUCAUAGUUGUUAAUAGAUGUUUACAGGUAGUUUUCUCUUGUAAAGAGAACUUUGUAGAUAACUGCUUGAAGGAGGUUGGUAAUAUGAAGGAAGUCUCGAAGGUCAAAUAGGCCGAUCGUCGAAUAUGAGUCACAGUCUACGAAGACACAGUAGACCCGUAGGUUCAGACAGAUAGAAUCCCCGUUCUUCAGCACCAAGAGUACAAGGACUUAAAUGACAUGGGUGACUACGGGUACCACCUAACGGGUAAAUAGUCAGAUACCAGGGUCGAUAAGGAUGAAUAUUGUGGGGGUUUACAAGUCCUCUCGAUAACCACGCACAACAUACGGGACCACUGUUCUAACCCAAUCAAUAACCAUUUCCACCCUACUGGUAUUUCUUAUAUUCCUUUCUUUCACCACGUUCGCAUCUACAACUACUGCGUUUCUUACUAUUCCUCCUUUCGUAUUAGUGGUAAAGCAGUUGACUCCGGUGGUUACUACAAUUCAGACGUCGACACCUUCGACAAGAAGACGAAGUUCGUUUCUAGUUGCUACUUUGACUUCUAUCUUACGUAGAGGCGGAAGAACAAGGCCCAUUACAGUAACCGACGGAAUAGCCGUUCCCACCAAGUUAGUAAUUACUAUACGCCUUAUUCAGAUUCCGUUAAUAGGUGUAUAGGUUCCCAUGAUUCGGGGCCUUCCGUAGAAGGUUACUACUCGAACAGCUCCACAAGCCCCUUCACCUGUUUGACGCACUACGAGAACAAGUCUAGCAAGAUUCCGAGGCCCUUCUUCAAGACUUCCUGUCACGCCCCUCCGUUUUAAGACCGUUCCUACCCUUCGAUUGACAACGGUGGUGACUUGGGCACAUAAGUUCGUCGAAAGGCUACGGUCGUAAUAAUGGAAUGUCAGUUGUUUAGUGGGGUAACGCGGUACUUGUUUCCCCACUUCGACUCGCACCAAACUUACAUAAAGGAGCAUCGUCGAACAUAGUACCUAUGUCGGGGUCCGUCCGACAUCUACUACCUAAACCUCAUGCGAGGAGUAUGUGAAGUUUCGGAAUACCUUCUGCGCAGGGCCUAUACCUUUACAAAUAAGGAAGAUCGCCGGAAAGUUUUCAUUACCCCUUCGUACCAUGUUUGAACCUGUUAUAAUCUUUCUAAAGACCUCGACUGUAACUUUAAUAACUUAGUUUUAGUAGAGCAGUACUCGUACAACGAUUGUAUAAACCGUGGGGCCUCGUCUCCGUCAGCCGUCUCUUAAACUAGUUUCGAAAGUAUUACAGAUGAAUUCCUCCAAGGACGACAUCAAACUUUCCUAUAUACACCUGGGAAGUCAGUCGAGAUAGCCUGAAGAGAACAGUAGGGCAUCUAGUUUUUGACACAAGAGGUAGGGAAGUUGAGAGGUUAUUUGGAGUACGAACAGAUAGAAGGAGUCUGAGGGUUGGUACCGAUAUGAACACACCUGAACAGGCACAAAUUAGCGUACAAGUCUAUAAGGGCAGAUUAGAGCUACUGACGAAGUUAGAGACGGAUAAGUAUUGGUUAAGAAAUACGACAGUCGUGACUAACGACUAUACAAGCGGUCAUACCCUCCCCGUGAGAAACCGGUGAAGUCAGUCUUGUACGUCGUGUGUAAAAAAGUCACGACACGAACCACCGUUAUGGCAUAAAUCUAUAGGUUCCUCAUAAGAUUGUGAAGCAAAAAUUCUUUAGAUAAUGUAAUAAUGGUUAAUCUUAAGAGGAGUAGGAAAAGUACUAUCUGAAUUUGUAGUAGCAAGAAUAUGAGAAAACGGGCAUGGAACUAACUAUUAGAAGUCAGCUUGUGCACCGUGUGCAAAAAAGUAACAAGACGUACCACCGAUGUAGUAGGAAUCUAUGGGUUCCUGAAGAGAUUAUGAAUUAAAAUUCUUUAGACAAAGUACCACUGGUUCAUCUUUAAGAAGUACAAGAAAACUUUAUCCACAUCAAUUUUUCAUUAAAAUUCUUUAGACAAAGUACCACUGGUUCAUCUUUAAGAAGUACAAGAAAACUUUAUCCACAUCAAUUUUUCAAGUUUUAGAACUUUCGGGGCGGGUACUUGAAACCAACCCAGUAUGAGAAGGUACGAUGGGUACGUCCAAAAGGAAAAAGGAAGAAAUGAGGGGGUGGUUUUGACAGCUUAUUCAAAUAAUUCUACGAGUGUUUCUGGGGAACCGUUGAAUUUCGUUCUGUCUCUCUUUUGUCCAUGGCGGACUCGUUGUCUAAAAUGGUUGUGGAGGAAUGUUCGACAUCUAUUGCAAAAGAGUUAGGUAGGGAAGUGGAAUGAUGUGUUGGACAGGAAGUUUAAUUUCCGAUGUUUAAAACUUCAUGGAUUCAUUACCGGGAUUUUAACACAUAUCAGACUUUUGUCCAAGACUUGAACUGAGAAGGGUUAGUUAGCAGAGUUGAUUAGGCCAUUUAAGGAAUCCACCUAUCCAAAAAUCUAUACAAAUGCAAAAAACUGUAGUGUUGUAUUCAUUAUAAUAACGGGAAGACUUUAUCCACAACCAACUCAUUACCGGGAUUUAAUACAUUAGAUCUUUAUCCAAGAAAAGUACUGAGGAGAAGGGUAAGUAAUAGGGUCGAAAACACAAGUAAGGAAUCGGUACAUACAAAGAUCUAAACAAUGCAGAGAAUCUGUGGUUUGACACUUAUCAUCUAUCAAUCAGUACAGGUAAGAAACAUUUAUCGUAGAACAAUACUCAACGUUGACGAACCUACGACGUUCAAUAUAACGCCGAAGACGAGUGCGUAACGAUAAUCCACUUAAGCAGUUGUUUCUUGAACUCUUACGACUCUAAAAUACCGUCAGUCGACUACUAAAGGUGGAGAGAAGAGACAAGGACACACGAGACAUACAGUCGCGGCUAUCGACUAAGAGAGACAACGGUCAUGCCCCUCCCCGGUAAUAUGUACAAGAAUAGUCACAAAAACGUACUACUGCUAUGGUAGGAAUAUCUAUAGAUUCCUCACCUAUGAGGUUAUAUCUCGUUUAGAAAACUUUAGACAAAGUAACAAUGGUUGAUUUUAAGAAGAGCAGGAAAGCACUAUUUGAAGUUUAACGGGAAGAAUGAGAAAACGGUGAUUGUCAUCUGGAGUUAGACUUGUGCUUCGUGUGUAAGUUAGAUCACAAACGUAUCACCGUUAUGGUAGGAAUCUAUAGACUCCUCAUAAGGUCACUAAGUCAAAAUUCUUUAGAACAAAGAAUACUCGACGUUGACGAACCACCAUGACGUUGUAUUGAACACCGUCAACCGACUACUAAAAGGGGAACAAAGAGAUAAGAACAAACAAGACACACAGUCGCAACUAUCGACUAAGAGAGACAACGAAUAUGCUCUCCCUGGGAACAUAAGAAAGUGGUUGAACGGUACUAUCAGAAAUUAGUGUUAUACGUUAAGUGCAAAAGGGGGUCACAAAACGUACCACCCUCAUAGUAGGAGUCUAUUGAUUGAUCAUUUUGAAGUUAAAACUCGUUAGAAAGUUUUAUACAAAGUAGCACUGGUUGUUUUUAAGAAGAGCAGGAAAAUACUAUUUGAAGUUGUACUAAGAAUAAUAUGAGAAAACGGUGAGCGGUACUAACUGUCAUGAGUUAGUCUUGUCGUCAUGUACAAAAGGGCCACAAACGUAGCACCGUUAUGACAAGAAACUAUAGGUUCCUCAUAAGAUCAAGAUAUUAAAAUUCUUUAGACAAAGUCGUAAUGACUCAUGUUUUAUGAAGAGCAGGAAAAGUUUAUCAACAUCCACUCAUUACCAGGACUUUAAUGGAUAUUAGCAGACAUGGACUGAGGAGAAUGGUAAGUAGUAGAACUGAAGACGACAGUAAGUAAUUGGUACGUGUAAGGAUCUAUACUGACUAAGAAACUGUAUUGUAACUUGUCAUCUAUAAGUACUGUCGAGAAACAUUUAUUAAUUAAAGACAAAUACUCAAACGUUGACGAGCGUUCUAUUGAACGACG
RNAcentral lists this ribosomal RNA (4640 nucleotides) under Triticum aestivum (bread wheat). RNAcentral's name for it is "partial small subunit ribosomal RNA". Lineage: Eukaryota; Viridiplantae; Streptophyta; Magnoliopsida; Poales; Poaceae. The record is from RNAcentral.